GAAGCGGCAACAGCUCAAAUUUGAAAUCUGGCGCAAGCCCGAGUUGUAAUUUGUAGAGGAUGCUUCUGGGCAGCGGCCGUUCUAAGUUCCUUGGAACAGGACGUCAUAGAGGGUGAGAAUCCCGUAUGUGACCGGCACGUACCCUUUACGUAGCUCCUUCGACGAGUCGAGUUGUUUGGGAAUGCAGCUCUAAAUGGGAGGUAAAUUCCUUCUAAAGCUAAAUACCGGCCAGAGACCGAUAGCGCACAAGUAGAGUGAUCGAAAGAUGAAAAGCACUUUGGAAAGAGAGUUAAAAAGCACGUGAAAUUGUUGAAAGGGAAGCGCUUACAACCAGACUUCGUGGCGGUGUUCCGCCGGUCUUCUGACCGGUCUACUCGCCGCCGCGAGGCCAGCAUCGUCUGGGGCCGCCGGAUAAGACCUUGGGAAUGUAGCUUGCCUCGGUAAGUGUUAUAGCCCAGGGUGAUGCGGCGCGCCUCGGGCGAGGUCCGCGCUUCGGCAAGGAUGCUGGCGUAAUGGUUGUCAGCGGCCCGUCUUGAAACACGGACCAAGGAGUCUAACAUCUAUGCGAGUGUUCGGGUGUCAAACCCCUACGCGUAAUGAAAGUGAACGGAGGUGGGAAGCGCAAGCUGCACCAUCGACCGAUCCUGAUGUCCUCGGAUGGAUUUGAGUAAGAGCAUAGCUGUUGGGACCCGAAAGAUGGUGAACUAUGCCUGAAUAGGGUGAAGCCAGAGGAAACUCUGGUGGA
This 745-nucleotide ribosomal RNA is filed under the name Phaeophleospora eugeniicola. Its description in RNAcentral is "eukaryotic LSU rRNA". It matches the Rfam family "Eukaryotic large subunit ribosomal RNA", at positions 95 to 871 of the family's 3401-position model. Lineage: Eukaryota; Fungi; Ascomycota; Dothideomycetes; Mycosphaerellales; Mycosphaerellaceae. The record is from RNAcentral.